CCCAAGCUGUCCGCCAGCGCACCGCCAUGGAGGACCUGGGUGAGUGGGGACCGGAUCCCCCUAGCCUCUCACCCUUCCCUGCAUCUACCUUCUUCCUAACUCACACAUCUUUCCCAUCCCAGUUUUCUUUUUCCAUUUUCUCGCCUCAGCCUGCCUGUGCCUCCCUCCCAAAUCCACAUACCCUUUCCUGCCUCUCCCUUCCUGUCUUGCUUGCGAUGCCGCUCCCUCCGUUCUUCCCUGGCUCUCUCUGCUCCCUCAAUCCUGCUUCUGCAAUGGACAAAGCGUUAAGGCACCCAUGGGGGCCUGAAUUCAGAGACUCUGGGAAGGAAGGGGUUAAGGGAUCAUUGACUCCGGAGACUGGGAAGAUAGACUAGAGAGAAGAGUGUGACCUCUAGAUGAAAGGGGUUUCAAGGUAUAGCAGGAGUCAAGAAAGUCCUCGGGGCAAGAAAGAGAAUAAUAGAGUGUGCCAGGGUGAUAGAAAGAAGCUUAAGGCUUCUGCCACAGAUACUCGGAGAAGAGUAAAGUGACGGCAGCUCAUCGAUGAUAAAGCGCCCCAGACGUCUUGUCCCCUCUAUUGGCGGAGGCUAGGGCUGACUCUGCUCUUCGUGGCAGAGCUACUGGACCCAGCAGCAGAGGGCGCUCCUCAAUAAUAGUACAUGGAUAAGAAGUACACCCAAAAAGCCGCUCCCAGCCAGGGCCACUUACCCCUGAGGGCAGGGCAAGACUUCAGUGUGGCCAA
Molecule: long non-coding RNA, 739 nt
Filed under: Rattus norvegicus (Norway rat)
Lineage: Eukaryota; Metazoa; Chordata; Mammalia; Rodentia; Muridae
Description: long non-coding RNA NONRATT001253
Source: RNAcentral